UACGUAGGGGGCAAGCGUUAUCCGGAUUUACUGGGUGUAAAGGGAGCGUAGACGGCAUGGCAAGUCAGAUGUGAAAGCCCGGGGCUCAACCCCGGGACUGCAUUUGAAACUGUCAGGCUGGAGUGCAGGAGAGGUAAGCGGAAUUCCUAGUGUAGCGGUGAAAUGCGUAGAUAUUAGGAGGAACACCAGUGGCGAAGGCGGCUUACUGGACUGUAACUGACGUUGAGGCUCGAAAGCGUGGGGAUCAAACAGG
This 253-nucleotide ribosomal RNA is filed under the name uncultured bacterium. Its description in RNAcentral is "partial 16S ribosomal RNA". It matches the Rfam family "Bacterial small subunit ribosomal RNA", at positions 524 to 776 of the family's 1533-position model. The record is from RNAcentral.